This 241-nucleotide long non-coding RNA is filed under the name Gossypium raimondii (Peruvian cotton). RNAcentral describes it as "long non-coding RNA (GRAI_LNC010947)". Lineage: Eukaryota; Viridiplantae; Streptophyta; Magnoliopsida; Malvales; Malvaceae. The record is from RNAcentral.
GGGAGUUAGGGUAUUUGGGAGUUAUCAGGUUUUGUUUUUAUUUUUUUUUUCAAAAUUCGUUUUUCUCUCACUAAAAAAAAAUACGUCAAUGUUUUCUGUUUUUCCCCUUUCUGAUAUUUUCUUUUCUCCUUCUCUACAAACAUUUGCUUUGUUCUCCUUCGUUUCGAUACAUCAAUAUGUUGUUCAAUCGUGUUGUUGGAAUUGUCAAGUUUUCCUUCUGAUUCGGUAAGUAGAACUCUGU